CAGAAAGACCCUAUGCAGCUUGACUACAGUUUGGAAUGGUAUUUAGGCUAUAUUCGCGCAGUAUAAGUGGGAGGUGUUGAUUCCUUUAUUUCGGUAAUGGCGUAACUGUUCUUGAGAUACCACUCUUGUAUAGCUCGAAUACUAACUAUAAUCCGUUUAUAUUUGGAUAUAGGAACAUUUCAGAUGGGUAGUUUGACUGGGGCGGUCGCCUCCUAAAGAGUAACGGAGGCGUACUAAGGUUCUUUCAGGCUGGACGGAAAUCAGUUGUAGAGCAUAAAGGUAAAAAAGGGCUUGACUGCAAGGCUUACAAGCCGAACAGGAGCGAAAGCUGGUCUUAGUGAUCCGGCGAUUCCUUGUGGAUGGGUCGUCGCUCAACGGAUAAAAGUUACUCUAGGGAUAACAGGCUGA
RNAcentral lists this ribosomal RNA (408 nucleotides) under Chloroparvula sp. RNAcentral describes it as "partial large subunit ribosomal RNA". It matches the Rfam family "Bacterial large subunit ribosomal RNA", at positions 2081 to 2485 of the family's 2925-position model. The record is from RNAcentral. Lineage: Eukaryota; Viridiplantae; Chlorophyta; Chloropicophyceae; Chloropicales; Chloropicaceae.